Gymnodraco acuticeps is the source of this 616-nucleotide long non-coding RNA. RefSeq lists it as uncharacterized. Lineage: Eukaryota; Metazoa; Chordata; Actinopteri; Perciformes; Bathydraconidae. The transcript is spliced from 3 exons. The record is from RefSeq and is a predicted model, not a curated record.
AAUACAUUUCUAAUCAUUUUCUAUUACUCAAAAUCUCCCCUUUUUUGUUUGUGUUACUUGAAUUUGCAAGUAAUUUUGUAUCUUCAUUUAGAUGAGUACAUUUAAAUCAUAGCACCAAGUCAAAAGUACUGUGUUGACCAACAGCCUGUGAACAGCUGGUAAAAUGUACCUGCGCAAUUUGAGUACAGGUGGGCCACGCCCCCGAUGACGUCAGAGGGGUUUGCGCACGGGACAAGCAACUAGAGUCUAUGCGGUUAACUUCCAGUCAAAGAGAGCAAGGACCCUCGUCUAAAGGGAAUACUCGUGGAUUUUGAAUCAUACACAUCUCGCGAUCGACUGGGAAUCUCCCCGCGGUCGAUCGUGAUCGACUGGUUGAGCACCCCUGGUCUAAACUAAAUGCUGCCGUGAUGAAACGCCAUAUCAUGGAUUAUCAAGGAUUCUCUCUGAAACAGUUUGGAGCUCAAAGGCUUUCUCUCUUGCCGGUUAUACCACAAGGGAGAGACACACACCUGACGAUCUCCUCGGGGAAGCAGCUGUUGAUGUUGUUGAUGUGAUCCUGCAGAGGGGAGCCGGGCUCCGCCUCGAUCUCCUGGAGCUUCUUCAGACCUCCGCUGGU